CUGCGAACGGCUCAUUAAAUCAGUUAUCGUUUAUUUGAUAGUACCUUUACCUACUUGGAUAACCGUGGUAAUUCUAGAGCUAAUACAUGCUAAAAGUCCCGACCUCCGGAAGGGACGUAUUUAUUARAUAAAAAACCAAUGCCCUUCUGGGCUUCUUGGUGAUUCAUGAUAACUUUACGAAUCGCAUGGCCUUGUGCCGGCGAUGGUUCAUUCAAAUUUCUGCCCUAUCAACUUUCGAUGGUAGGAUAGUGGCCUACCAUGGUUUCAACGGGUAACGGGGAAUUAGGGUUCGAUUCCGGAGAGGGAGCCUGAGAAACGGCUACCACAUCCAAGGAAGGCAGCAGGCGCGCAAAUUACCCAAUCCCGACACGGGGAGGUAGUGACAAGAAAUACUGAUACAGGGCCCAUCUGGGUCUUGUAAUUGGAAUGAGUACAAUUUAAAGCCUUUAACGAGGAACAAUUGGAGGGCAAGUCUGGUGCCAGCAGCCGCGGUAAUUCCAGCUCCAAUAGCGUAUAUUAAAGUUGUUGCAGUUAAAAAGCUCGUAGUUGAACUUUGGGUCUGGGUGACCGGUCCCCCGACUGGGUGUGCACUGGAAACCCGGAUCUUUCCUUCUGGAGAACCUCAUGCCCUUCACUGGGUGUGUUGGGGAACUAGGACUUUUACUUUGAAAAAAUUAGAGUGUUCAAAGCAGGCUUUUGCUCGAAUACAUUAGCAUGGAAUAAUAAAAUAGGACGUGCGGUUCUAUUUUGUUGGUUUCUAGGACCGCCGUAAUGAUUAAUAGGGAUAGUCGGGGGCAUCCGUAUUCGAUUGUCAGAGGUGAAAUUCUUGGAUUUUUCGAAGACGAACUACUGCGAAAGCAUUUGCCAAGGAUGUUUUCAUUAAUCAGGAACGAAAGUUGAGGGAUCGAAGACGAUCAGAUACCGUCGUAGUCUCAACCAUAAACUAUGCCGACUAGGAAUCGGGCGAUGUUUUCAAUUUGACUCGCUCGGCACCUUACGAGAAAUCAAAGUUUUUGGGUUCUGGGGGGAGUAUGGUCGCAAGGCUGAAACUUAAAGGAAUUGACGGAAGGGCACCACCAGGAGUGGAGCCUGCGGCUUAAUUUGACUCAACACGGGGAAACUCACCAGGUCCAGACACAUUAAGGAUUGACAGAUUGAGAGCUCUUUCUUGAUUAUGUGGGUGGUGGUGCAUGGCCGUUCUUAGUUGGUGGAGUGAUUUGUCUGCUUAAUUGCGAUAACGAACGAGACCUUAACCUGCUAAAUAGCUGGGCUCGC
This 1275-nucleotide ribosomal RNA is filed under the name Octospora gyalectoides. Its description in RNAcentral is "SSU rRNA". The record is from RNAcentral. Lineage: Eukaryota; Fungi; Ascomycota; Pezizomycetes; Pezizales; Pyronemataceae.